This 382-nucleotide ribosomal RNA is filed under the name uncultured eukaryote. Its description in RNAcentral is "partial 18S ribosomal RNA". It matches the Rfam family "Eukaryotic small subunit ribosomal RNA", at positions 592 to 976 of the family's 1831-position model. The record is from RNAcentral.
CAAUAGCGUAUAUUGAAGUUGUUGCGGUUAAAAAGCUCGUCGUUGGAUUUCUGUUGAGGUCGAACAGUGCCGCCCUCUGGGUGCGCAACUGGCUCGGCUUCGGCAUCUUCUUGGAGAGCGCAUCUGCACUUAACUGUGUGGAUCGUACUUCAAGUCAGUUACUUUGAGGAAUUGUGAGUGUUUCAAGCAGGCUUACGCCGUUGAAUCCGUUAGCAUGGAAUAAUAGGAUAGGACCUCGGUUCUAUUUUGUUGGUUUUGAGAGCUGGGGCAGCGAUUGAUAGGGACGGAUGGGGGCGUCCGAACUUUACUGUCAGAGGUGAAAUUCUUAGAUCGGUCAAAGGCGAACUACUGCGAACGCAUUCGCCAAGAAUGUUUUCUUUAA